CGUCGGCAUCUAUCAUGCAGUCGAGCGGACCGACGGGAGCUUGCUCCCUUAGGUCAGCGGCGGACGGGUGAGUAACACGUGGGUAACCUGCCUGUAAGACUGGGAUAACUCCGGGAAACCGGGGCUAAUACCGGAUGCUUGAUUGAACCGCAUGGUUCAAUCAUAAAAGGUGGCUUUUAGCUACCACUUACAGAUGGACCCGCGGCGCAUUAGCUAGUUGGUGAGGUAACGGCUCACCAAGGCGACGAUGCGUAGCCGACCUGAGAGGGUGAUCGGCCACACUGGGACUGAGACACGGCCCAGACUCCUACGGGAGGCAGCAGUAGGGAAUCUUCCGCAAUGGACGAAAGUCUGACGGAGCAACGCCGCGUGAGUGAUGAAGGUUUUCGGAUCGUAAAACUCUGUUGUUAGGGAAGAACAAGUACCGUUCGAAUAGGGCGGCACCUUGACUGUACCUAACCAGAAAGCCACGGCUAACUACGUGCCAGCAGCCGCGGUAAUACGUAGGUGGCAAGCGUUGUCCGGAAUUAUUGGGCGUAAAGCGCGCGCAGGCGGUUUCUUAAGUCUGAUGUGAAAGCCCCCGGCUCAACCGGGGAGGGUCAUUGGAAACUGGGGAACUUGAGUGCAGAAGAGGAGAGUGGAAUUCCACGUGUAGCGGUGAAAUGCGUAGAGAUGUGGAGGAACACCAGUGGCGAAGGCGACUCUCUGGUCUGUAACUGACGCUGAGCGCGAAAGCGUGGGAGCUGAGCCAGGAUUAAACUC
Molecule: ribosomal RNA, 762 nt
Filed under: Bacillus licheniformis
Lineage: Bacteria; Bacillati; Bacillota; Bacilli; Caryophanales; Bacillaceae
Description: bacterial SSU rRNA
Rfam family: Bacterial small subunit ribosomal RNA
Source: RNAcentral